UACGGAGGGUGCAAGCAUUAAUCGGAAUUAUUGGGCGUAAAGAGCGCGUAGGCGGUGUCUUAAGUCAGAUGUGAAACUCCAAAGCUUAACUUUGGACCUGCAUCUGAAACUGAGACUCUAGAGGAUAGUCGGAGAAAACGGAAUUCCACAAGUAGCGGUGAAAUGCGUAGAUAUGUGGAAGAACACCAGUGGCGAAAGCGGUUUUCUAGAUUACACCUGACGCUGAGGUGCGAAAGCAAGGGGAGCAAACAGG
Molecule: unclassified non-coding RNA, 253 nt
Filed under: uncultured Chlamydiales bacterium
Lineage: Bacteria; Pseudomonadati; Chlamydiota; Chlamydiia; Chlamydiales
Description: contains 16S-23S intergenic spacer region
Rfam family: Bacterial small subunit ribosomal RNA
Source: RNAcentral